GCUGGCGGCAUGCCUAACACAUGCAAGUCGAACGAGACCUUCGGGUCUAGUGGCGCAUGGGUGCGUAACGCGUGGGAAUCUGCCCUUGGGUUCGGAAUAACUUCGGGAAACUGAAGCUAGUACCGGAUGAUGUCUUCGGACCAAAGAUUUAUCGCCCAGGGAUGAGCCCGCGUAGGAUUAGCUUGUUGGUGAGGUAAAAGCUCACCAAGGCGACGAUCCUUAGCUGGUCUGAGAGGAUGAUCAGCCACACUGGGACUGAGACACGGCCCAGACUCCUACGGGAGGCAGCAGUGGGGAAUAUUGGACAAUGGGCGAAAGCCUGAUCCAGCAAUGCCGCGUGAGUGAUGAAGGCCUUAGGGUUGUAAAGCUCUUUUGCCAGGGAUGAUAAUGACAGUACCUGGAGAAUAAGCUCCGGCUAACUCCGUGCCAGCAGCCGCGGUAAUACGGAGGGAGCUAGCGUUGUUCGGAAUUACUGGGCGUAAAGCGCGCGU
RNAcentral lists this ribosomal RNA (491 nucleotides) under uncultured soil bacterium. RNAcentral's name for it is "bacterial SSU rRNA". It matches the Rfam family "Bacterial small subunit ribosomal RNA", at positions 35 to 572 of the family's 1533-position model. The record is from RNAcentral.